AGAGUUUGAUCCUGGCUCAGAUUGAACGCUGGCGGCAGGCCUAACACAUGCAAGUCGAGCGGUAGAGAGAAGCUUGCUUCUCUUGAGAGCGGCGGACGGGUGAGUAAUGCCUAGGAAUCUGCCUGGCAGUGGGGGAUAACGUUCGGAAACGGACGCUAAUACCGCAUACGUCCUACGGGAGAAAGCAGGGGACCUUCGGGCCUUGCGCUAUCAGAUGAGCCUAGGUCGGAUUAGCUAGUUGGUGAGGUAAUGGCUCACCAAGGCAACGAUCCGUAACUGGUCUGAGAGGAUGAUCAGUCACACUGGAACUGAGACACGGUCCAGACUCCUACGGGAGGCAGCAGUGGGGAAUAUUGGACAAUGGGCGAAAGCCUGAUCCAGCCAUGCCGCGUGUGUGAAGAAGGUCUUCGGAUUGUAAAGCACUUUAAGUUGGGAGGAAGGGCAGUUACCUAAUACGUGAUUGUUUUGACGUUACCGACAGAAUAAGCACCGGCUAACUCUGUGCCAGCAGCCGCGGUAAUACAGAGGGU
This 530-nucleotide ribosomal RNA is filed under the name uncultured bacterium. RNAcentral describes it as "bacterial SSU rRNA". It matches the Rfam family "Bacterial small subunit ribosomal RNA", at positions 8 to 533 of the family's 1533-position model. The record is from RNAcentral.